AGAGUUUGCUGUUUCUUUAUCUGAAUCCUGACCUAAAUAGCUCUGCUCUCCUCCUCCAGUUUGUGUUUAUGUGUUGUGUUCCUCUCUGCAGCAGAUGCCACCACAGCGACAGUCUUAAACUAGGUCAGGGAGAGUGGGUGAGCUGGCACAGCCCCUCCGGCUAUGUUGCUCUGCGUCCUCACUCCCCUCCAGUUGUGCAGCUCACCUUCCAUGGCAUCUUGGGCUUGUCUCUGUCCCCAGAGGCACAGGGCUGGAAGUUUCUUGUCCCAGCUCCAGGACUCAUGACCUGCAGCUUCCUAGCCCUCAGAGCUGGAAGGAGACAGGAAGAGUCUGAGUCCUCUGGGAGUCCUUGGUGAAGAAUCUAGGUCCAAGAUUCUCUUUUCUUCACAUUGACCUCCAUGAGGAUGCCCUAAGCAUGCUAGGACGUGUUCCAGAGGGG
Molecule: long non-coding RNA, 439 nt
Filed under: Cavia porcellus (domestic guinea pig)
Lineage: Eukaryota; Metazoa; Chordata; Mammalia; Rodentia; Caviidae
Description: lncRNA (ENSCPOG00000032319.1)
Source: RNAcentral